This 201-nucleotide long non-coding RNA is filed under the name Elaeis guineensis (African oil palm). RNAcentral describes it as "long non-coding RNA (EGUI_LNC056465)". The record is from RNAcentral. Lineage: Eukaryota; Viridiplantae; Streptophyta; Magnoliopsida; Arecales; Arecaceae.
CCCGCUGCUCGUAUACCAGUUGGAUCUUCAAUUGCUGCAGUUCGGCCUUUCCCUCCCCAAGGGCGACAGAUAGCUCUUCUAUAGUUCUUCUCAGGGAUUGGAGUUUGUCGGGAUCCUGAACAGGAGCAAACUGAGCUCCUUCGGCUAGCUGCCUUUGAAGGCGGGCAACCUCGUCGGUCGCCAUCCUGAGCUUCCCCCUAU